AUAUUUACCUGGCAGGGGUGAUACGAUGAUCAAGAAGGUGAUUCACCGAAGGUGAAGCUCAGCCAUUGCACUCAGGCUGUGCUGACCCUUGCGAAUUCCCCAAAUGUGGGAAUCUUGACUGCAUAAUUUCUGAUAGUUGGGGACUGCGUUCUCACUCUUCCCUG
Clarias gariepinus (North African catfish) is the source of this 164-nucleotide small nuclear RNA. RefSeq annotates it as U1 spliceosomal RNA. Lineage: Eukaryota; Metazoa; Chordata; Actinopteri; Siluriformes; Clariidae. The record is from RefSeq and is a predicted model, not a curated record. The transcript has a single exon.